RNAcentral lists this ribosomal RNA (470 nucleotides) under Veillonella dispar. Its description in RNAcentral is "bacterial SSU rRNA". It matches the Rfam family "Bacterial small subunit ribosomal RNA", at positions 28 to 475 of the family's 1533-position model. The record is from RNAcentral. Lineage: Bacteria; Bacillati; Bacillota; Negativicutes; Veillonellales; Veillonellaceae.
GACGAACGCUGGCGGCGUGCUUAACACAUGCAAGUCGAACGAAGAGCGAUGGAAGCUUGCUUCUAUCAAUCUUAGUGGCGAACGGGUGAGUAACGCGUAAUCAACCUGCCCUUCAGAGGGGGACAACAGUUGGAAACGACUGCUAAUACCGCAUACGAUCUAAUCUCGGCAUCGAGGAUAGAUGAAAGGUGGCCUCUAUUUAUAAGCUAUCACUGAAGGAGGGGAUUGCGUUUGAUUAGCUAGUUGGAGGGGUAACGGCCCACCAAGGCGAUGAUCAGUAGCCGGUCUGAGAGGAUGAACGGCCACAUUGGGACUGAGACACGGCCCAGACUCCUACGGGAGGCAGCAGUGGGGAAUCUUCCGCAAUGGACGAAAGUCUGACGGAGCAACGCCGCGUGAGUGAUGACGGCCUUCGGGUUGUAAAGCUCUGUUAAUCGGGACGAAAGGCCUUCUUGCGAAUAGUUAGAAGG